UGGGGAAUCUUGCACAAUGGAGGAAACUCUGAUGCAGCGACGCCGCGUGAGCGAUGAAGCCCUUCGGGGUGUAAAGCUCUUUCGGCAGGGAAGAUUAUGACGGUACCUGCAGAAGCAGCUGCGGCUAACUACGUGCCAGCAGCCGCGGUAAUACGUAGGCAGCAAGCGUUGUUCGGAGUUACUGGGCGUAAAGGGUGCGUAGGCGGCCUUGUAAGUAUGGUGUGAAAUCUCCCGGCUUAACUGGGAGGGUGCGCUAUUAACUGCAGGGCUAGAGUGCGGGAGAGGAAAGUGGAAUUCCUGGUGUAGCGGUGAAAUGCGUAGAUAUCAGGAGGAACACCGGUGGUGUAAACGGCUUUCUGGACCGUAACUGACGCUGAGGCACGAAAGCGUGGGUAGCAAACAGGAUUAGAUACCCCUGUAGUCC
This 424-nucleotide ribosomal RNA is filed under the name uncultured bacterium. Its description in RNAcentral is "bacterial SSU rRNA". It matches the Rfam family "Bacterial small subunit ribosomal RNA", at positions 355 to 796 of the family's 1533-position model. The record is from RNAcentral.